CCCUCAUUCAUUCCCAUACUGUCCCCACGUCCCCUCAUUCAUUCCCAUACUGUCCCCAUGUCCCCUCAUUCACUCCCAUACUGUCCCCACGUCCCCUCAUUCAUUCCCAUACUGUCCCCACGUCCCCUCAUUCAUUCCCAUUCUGUCCCCAUAUUCCCUCAUUCAUUCCCAUACUGUCCCCAUAUCCCCUCAUUCAUUCCCGUACUGUCCCCAUAUCCCCUCAUUCACUCCCAUUCUGUCCCCAUAUCCCCUCAUUCAUCCCGCAGCUCUUUGGGUCGCCGUUCGGGUUCUGCUGCUGCUGGCGGUUCUGGCUGCUGCUCUGGGUUUCCUUAUGGGGCUGUCGGCGGCUGGAGCCGCUCGGAGGGAGCAGGGACGAGCGGCUGGGAUCAGUAUGGGGCUGGCUGGGCUGCUGGCGCUGCUGGCUCUGUCCCUGUGCUCGGUGGUGACACGGGGCAGCGCCUGGAGCUUCUCCUGGUCCUACAUCCUGGGCUGGGUCGGCGUCGUCCUCAUCAGCUCUGCAGGGCUCUUCCAUCUCUGUGCUGCUGCAAAGGACCCGACCCCAGAGAGCUCUGAGUCGGGGGGAGGAUGAGGGGUGAUGGGACCCCCAAACUGCUCCCCCCACAGCGCCCCAUCGGAGCGGGGCUGUGCAGUCACCAUAACCCUAAACCUAACCCUAAACCUAACCCUAACACUAACACUAACCCUAACACUAACCCUAACUCCAGCCCCAAUCCUAACCCUAACCCUAAACCCCAAUCCUAACCCCAACCCUAACCCUAACCCUAACCCCAACCCUAACCCUAACCCU
This 808-nucleotide long non-coding RNA is filed under the name Coturnix japonica (Japanese quail). Its description in RNAcentral is "lncRNA (ENSCJPG00005013974.1)". Lineage: Eukaryota; Metazoa; Chordata; Aves; Galliformes; Phasianidae. The record is from RNAcentral.